GGUUUAAUCGUGGGCUUGGUGGAGGCCGUAGCUUGAGCUCGGGAGAUUUUUUACAUCGAUUUGGAGGGCCUUUCGAGUGUGCGUGCGUCGUGAUUGCGUCGUUGGAGGCCGGGCGAGCGCGCGUUUUCCUCUCCUUUCGACUUCUCGCCGUUGUUGGACGAGCGUUUCGAGAACCUUCGUCCGUGGCUGCUGCUGUUGCUGUUUUGGAUCGUGAAAAGGGAGUUGCGAGCUAGGUCCCUUCCGGUCUUGCUGCAGUUCUAGAUAAGUACCUCCCACAGGUAGUUUUGGGAUUUUUAUACGUAUGGUCUUUUUAUCUGGGUACUCGCUGGAUCGAGUGGUGUAGUAGACAUUUUAUAUGUACUGGAACCCUUAAGGUUAUAUAUUACUUUUCUAUUUAGCAGUU
Ananas comosus (pineapple) is the source of this 403-nucleotide long non-coding RNA. RefSeq lists it as uncharacterized. NCBI's taxonomy places the organism in Eukaryota, Viridiplantae, Streptophyta, Magnoliopsida, Poales, Bromeliaceae. The record is from RefSeq and is a predicted model, not a curated record. The transcript has 2 exons.